RNAcentral lists this ribosomal RNA (310 nucleotides) under uncultured bacterium. RNAcentral's name for it is "bacterial SSU rRNA". It matches the Rfam family "Bacterial small subunit ribosomal RNA", at positions 28 to 334 of the family's 1533-position model. The record is from RNAcentral.
GAUGAACGCUGGCGGCACGCUUAACACAUGCAAGUCGAACGAAGUCCAUGGAGCUUGCUCCGGAAGAUUUAGUGGCGAACGGGUGCGUAACACGUGAGAAAUCUGCCCCGGACUCUGGGAUAACAGUUGGAAACGACUGCUAAUACCGGAUGCCUUCAUUUGACCGCAUGGUUGUUUGAAGAAAGAUUUAUUGGUAAAAGAUGACUAUGCGUUCUAUUAGUUAGUUGGUGAGGUAACGGCUCACCAAGACAGCGAUAGAUAGGGGUCCUGAGAGGGAGAUCCCCCACACUGGUACUGAGACACGGACCAG